GAUGAACGCUGGCGGCGUGCCUAAUACAUGCAAGUCGAGCGAACAGAUAAGGAGCUUGCUCCUCUGACGUUAGCGGCGGACGGGUGAGUAACACGUGGGUAACCUACCUAUAAGAUUGGGAUAACUUCGGGAAACCGGAGCUAAUACCGGAUAACAUUUUGAACCGCAUGGUUCUAAAGUGAAAGAUGGUUUUGCUAUCACUUAUAGAUGGACCCGCGCUGUAUUAGCUAGUUGGUAAGGUAACGGCUUACCAAGGCGACGAUACGUAGCCGACCUGAGAGGGUGAACGGGCAAACUGGAAAUGAGAAAACGUUCAAAAUCCAAAGGGAAGCAGCAGUAAGGAAACUUCCGGAAAGGGGGGAAGGCUGACGGAGGAAAGGCGGGGGAGGGAAGAAGGGUCUCGGGUCGGAAAACCCUGUUAAUAAGGAAAAAAAAUAGGGGAAGGAACUGGGGAAGACUUGAAGGGAACUAAUCAAAAAAGCAAGGCUAAAUAAGUG
RNAcentral lists this ribosomal RNA (497 nucleotides) under uncultured bacterium. RNAcentral's name for it is "partial 16S ribosomal RNA". It matches the Rfam family "Bacterial small subunit ribosomal RNA", at positions 28 to 507 of the family's 1533-position model. The record is from RNAcentral.